UUGAAGCUGCAAUGUUUGUGAUUACGGUUGCGUUUAACCUCUACACAACAAUUAGGGAGUUUUACAUCGAGUGCUGGCUGUCAGGCCCCCAAAGAGGGGAAGGCAAAAGGUACUCUGCGAACACCCACUUGGGAGAGCGGGUGGUUAAAACGAACUAAUUGAAUCACGGCAUUGCGGCUUCACG
RNAcentral lists this non-coding RNA (184 nucleotides) under Bacilli bacterium. Its description in RNAcentral is "6S RNA". It matches the Rfam family "6S / SsrS RNA". Rfam says of the family: E. coli 6S RNA was the first non coding RNA to be sequenced, but its function was unknown until recently. It consists of 184 nucleotides that fold into an extended hairpin structure with a large single-stranded internal bulge. The 6S RNA specifically associates with RNA polymerase holoenzyme containing the sigma70 specificity factor. The record is from RNAcentral. Lineage: Bacteria; Bacillati; Bacillota; Bacilli.